This 850-nucleotide ribosomal RNA is filed under the name uncultured bacterium. RNAcentral describes it as "bacterial SSU rRNA". It matches the Rfam family "Bacterial small subunit ribosomal RNA", at positions 28 to 881 of the family's 1533-position model. The record is from RNAcentral.
GAUGAACGCUGGCGGCGUGCCUAACACAUGCAAGUCGAGCGGACCAAUGUUCAUUUCAGCUUUGCUGAUUUGAGCAACGGUUAGCGGCGGACGGGUGAGUAACGCGUGGGCAACCUGCCCUGUGCAGGGGGAUAACACAGCGAAAGCUGUGCUAAUACCCCAUAAGACUACGCUAUCGCAUGAUAGAGUAGUCAAAGCUUUAGCGGCACAGGAUGGGCCCGCGUCUGAUUAGCUAGUUGGUGGGGUAACGGCCUACCAAGGCGACGAUCAGUAGCCGACCUGAGAGGGUGAUCGGCCACACUGGAACUGAGACACGGUCCAGACUCCUACGGGAGGCAGCAGUGGGGAAUAUUGCACAAUGGGGGAAACCCUGAUGCAGCAACGCCGCGUGAGCGAAGAAGGCCUUCGGGUCGUAAAGCUCUGUCCUAAGGGAAGAAGUAUGACGGUACCUUAGGAGGAAGCCCCGGCUAACUACGUGCCAGCAGCCGCGGUAAUACGUAGGGGGCGAGCGUUAUCCGGAAUCACUGGGCGUAAAGGGUGCGUAGGCGGCCGAGUAAGCCAGAGGUGAAAGGCUACGGCUUAACCGUAGUAAGCCUUUGGAACUACUUGGCUUGAGUGCAGGAGAGGAGAGUGGAAUUCCUAGUGUAGCGGUGAAAUGCGUAGAUAUUAGGAGGAACACCAGUGGCGAAGGCGACUCUCUGGACUGUAACUGACGCUGAGGCACGAAAGCGUGGGGAGCAAACAGGAUUAGAUACCCUGGUAGUCCACGCCGUAAACGAUGAGUGCUAGGUGUCGGGGGUUCACACCCUCGGUGCCGGAGUUAACGCAAUAAGCACUCCGCCUGGGGAGU